AAGAGAAAGAGUGUGAACGAUGAGAUGCAGUUCAUGCGUAGAGGUGCGAAAGAGCAGCAUGGCGUAAGGGAUUAGCAAUCAUUGUUAAGGGUGGAAUUCCCUCACAGAUCGUGGCAAGGUCAUGUUUUUCUGGCCUAUAUAAGGCCAUCGCUGUCAGACCGAAGGCAUACACUUCAAGUGCACCGUUCAUAGAACAUCACGUAGCGCUACAUAGCAAUUGCUUUAAGCUGGCGUUUUACGUGUUGAAAAGCUUUAAAUAGUUUAAAUUUAUUAGUUAAAAUUUUUAGUUAAAAUUCAAAUUUUUAGUUAAAAUUUAUUUUUGUAAAUAUGUAAAUUUUGCAACUAAAUGUUCGCGUUUGCUGAGUUAUUGGUGUAUUUAAUUACUUAAACUGGAGAGAAAGACAGAGGCACUAGCCCCCUGACCCAGGUUACGGAGGUGCAAGCAAUCUAUGAACGAUUAUAAUGAGAAGAAAAUCAAGAUCGGAAGAGCAAGGAUGAGUUGGCGGACUCUUUCCAAAACUAUCGGUCAUUGGACUCUCUCUUUGGACCUUUAACUACGAGCGUAAACAGGGGGGAUAUUUUAACAUAUAUGUACAUAGAGGAUUGAGAAGUAGCAGCGUCAGCAGUAAUAGCAACAAGAGAAGCAGCAACAACAGCAGCAAUAGCAACAACGGCAGCAACAAUGCCAAUGAUGAUGAUGAUAAUGGUGAUGGUGAUGGUGAUGAUGGGACAAAAACAAAAGCAACGAAAGCGGUGAGUGGUGUGGUGACCUCUAACUGUAAAUGCUGAAUGUGCUGCAGAAAAUGUGUGCUAUUGGUUGGCUGGUGAAUAAUGUAACAACAACAGAAACAUGUAAAUAUAACAACGGGGGAUAUGAAGACAAAGCGAUCUUCAAGCAAUCAAUAGUAGAAGCCAGUAAAAGAUCGAGUUAAGGCGUAAAUGUACACCUUUUGAGAUUAAAAGCGAAGAAAGCAACUGAUUUGUUGCACGCACUGCGAAGGCGCUACGCUCGUACGAACUCUGAGAUGAAGUAAAUAAACCAACGAUAAGAAAAACAAGUCACGCGGUCUUCAAGCAAUCAAAACGAACAUUAGUGAGUAGUAGCUGAUAAUAACAACAAAAAGUAACAAUAAUAAGCACCAAUUGAAAAUAACAACGACAAAAUUGAAAUUAUA
Anastrepha ludens (Mexican fruit fly) is the source of this 1175-nucleotide long non-coding RNA. RefSeq lists it as uncharacterized. The transcript has 2 exons. The record is from RefSeq and is a predicted model, not a curated record. Lineage: Eukaryota; Metazoa; Arthropoda; Insecta; Diptera; Tephritidae.